RNAcentral lists this long non-coding RNA (1160 nucleotides) under Androctonus crassicauda. Lineage: Eukaryota; Metazoa; Arthropoda; Arachnida; Scorpiones; Buthidae. The record is from RNAcentral.
ACAUUAAUUAAGAUUGAUUUAUGCUAUAAUAAUACUUCCUGGCAUAAAAACGGAAAGUGAAGAUAUGUGCAUCUAAUUGUGUUGUUUUUAUUAUUAUUUUUUCUUUCUUCUCCCCACACUUUAACGAUAAGAGUUAACUAAUUAAUCAUAAUGACAGUAAUUUACUUACUUACUGAACUCUUAACGGGAAUGAUUAAAUUCUGGUAUUUAAUAUCAUUUUAUAUAUUCACCGACGAGGUGUGGUUGAGAAACGUAUUAACGCGAAUUUAAUCGAAUGUAAAGGUACGAAACUUUAAAAAAUGCGAUUAAAUAUACAGUAAUGACGUGAACGGAUGUUAUAAAAACCUACGUAUUGUAUAAACGUAGAGUGAUCGGAUAAUGAGCCUCACGAAUUUUUUUUUAGUCUUUCCGUAUUGGAGAGAAAUUCCGGAUUUUGGGUCGUAUUAGUGUUUCUGGUAUUUUUUAUUGGAGAAAGUUAGUAAAAGUCGAAAAUUAUCUAUUAGUAAUAGUAAGGUGAGACAUUCCAUUAGUCGGUAGUUCUGGAUUUGUAACAUCUGUUGUGGACAGGCGACCUCCUGCCCGCCCAUCCGUCACGUUGGCUCGAAGGUGUGACUCUUCUUUUAUUUUUUAUUUUUCCUGCCUAUCCGGAAUUGGACCACUCCCUGAUACGCUUUAUGGAUUUCACCCAUUAAAAAAAAAAAAUGCGGAACAAAAUUACAAUUUCAAAUUAUGCUAACUUUGAUACGAGGAAAAAAAAAAAAAAAAAAUGCUUAAUUACCCUUUUGAGUAAUAAUACACGCAUCAUUUUCGCUGGCAGAUCCUUUAAUCUUCGCACUUUAGACAGUCUUAAUCCGUAUUUUUCGGGUUUAAUCUUUUAUAAUUUUAUUGAUGCAAAAUUUAAUUUUUGUGAAUUUUCUUUCCUGAUAUAUAUAUACUGUAAUUAGUUUGAAAUGCUGGUAACUGUAAUCUAGAAUGCGGAUGUUACGCCAUUCGAGUGCAGUAAAAGUAAAUUAUUGUUCAGAGUGCAUAAAAAUUACUGUUAAACUCAUUUUCUAUUUUUCUUUCGUCGAUAAUUAAAAAUAAGUAAAUUAUUUGAUGUUGCUUUCCUUUUAAAUUCGUUUAUAAUUGUUUUUUUUCGUUUUACUAAUUUUUAACGUGAU